This 335-nucleotide long non-coding RNA is filed under the name Setaria viridis. RNAcentral's name for it is "long non-coding RNA (SVIR_LNC010486)". The record is from RNAcentral. Lineage: Eukaryota; Viridiplantae; Streptophyta; Magnoliopsida; Poales; Poaceae.
GGAGGAGGAGGAUUCGACGAUUAUUGGCGCCGUGCUCGGGCCAGCCUCCUGGAAAGGUACAGGAAGCGGAUUUUUAUAAGUAUAAGGCAAAUGAUUAAGUCUGAUGACAUAUAAUGGCUGCCUUACUUCUGUGAGUCACCCGGCCGAUGGUUGUUGGAAAGGUACAAUCGAUGUGCCCAGGGUAGCCUGCAUCAAAAUCGGUUAGCUUUUUGUUAAGUAUUGAGAAAAUUGAGUUAAACAAAGACUCUCUACCUCAGUGGGAGGAAUUGUUGGCGUCCCUAUCUCUGCCUGGGAUGUAGCCGAUUACUGCAGAGGUUGCACUGGGGCGAUUUGCG